Molecule: non-coding RNA, 311 nt
Organism: Paramuricea clavata
Lineage: Eukaryota; Metazoa; Cnidaria; Anthozoa; Malacalcyonacea; Plexauridae
Source: the annotation of a GenBank genome assembly
AUUUUCCGAUUUGUUGGAAGACAAAUGGUGUCUCCAAAGAAAGUACAUGUGCAGACAACGUGACACUUUAGACUGCAGAAAAUUUCACAAUCCGUUAUCAAACUAUGUCACAGAAGUGGUAAGGGACUUGUGUGACAACUGAAUGGUAUCUUUUUGUAAUGUUUUUGACCAGGGGUGGGUAUUUCUUUUUUAAUUGAUAUUUGAGGUUGGGUAAUCAAAUAUUUUACUUUUUAAUGGUUGGGUCAGCAAAAUUUUUGGCACGAAAAACAUUUCUCUUCGGUGCCACCCCCCACCAUAAAUAAUGACCGCUC